This 116-nucleotide ribosomal RNA is filed under the name Pseudomonas sp. NFACC32-1. Lineage: Bacteria; Pseudomonadati; Pseudomonadota; Gammaproteobacteria; Pseudomonadales; Pseudomonadaceae. RNAcentral also lists the same sequence under 1 other name. The record is from RNAcentral.
CUUGACGACCAUAGAGCGUUGGAACCACCUGAUCCCAUCCCGAACUCAGAAGUGAAACGAUGCAUCGCCGAUGGUAGUGUGGGGCUUCCCCAUGUGAGAGUAGGUCAUCGUCAAGA